Bactrocera neohumeralis is the source of this 636-nucleotide long non-coding RNA. RefSeq lists it as uncharacterized. The transcript is spliced from 3 exons. Lineage: Eukaryota; Metazoa; Arthropoda; Insecta; Diptera; Tephritidae. The record is from RefSeq and is a predicted model, not a curated record.
GCCAGACCAGCGCGAUGGAAAUAAACGGGAUUGAUGAGUCAGGCGGUGACGCUUGUUGAACCUCGCACGAUGACGGAAAUAAACGGAAUUUAUGAGCCAGGUGUUGACGCUUGUUGAAACUGGCACGGCGACGGAAAUAAACGGAAUCUAUGAGCCAGGUGUUGACGCUUGAUGAAGUCGGCACGGCGGUGAUGAAAACGGGUGAAACUAACCGUGCCCGGCGUUGACGCUUGAUGAAGUCGGCACGGCGGUGAUGAAAACGGGUGAAACUAACGUGCCCGGCGUUGACGCUUGCUAAAGCUGGCACGGUGAUGUAUCCGGCGGUGAUGAUGGUCCUUCGGCUUCGCGCUGCCUAUUGCUGCCGAUUGCUGGGCGACCGUCCUCGCUGGCGAGCUGGAGAAAAAAAGGGCCCGUUCGGUGUGAAGUGCUUGCUUAUAUAGCAGCAUAGCGCAGCUUUCGUCACCGUAGCGAGGUAAGUUGUAUGCGUAUGGUGCGUUAGUACGUAUGGUGGAAAGCUCUAGCAGCUUUCAUCAUCGUAGUGAGGUGAGUUGGGUGCGUAGUCAAUGCGGUGAAGUUUAGUACGUAUGGUGGUAUGGUGAAGGUACAUGAUGUACUGUGGAGCGAAGUUGACGUAAA